CGGAAAGUAGCUCAGCUUGGUAGAGUGCAGGCUUUGGGAGUCUGAUGUCGCAGGUUCAAGUCCUGUCUUUCCGA
RNAcentral lists this transfer RNA (74 nucleotides) under Enterococcus phage phiEF17H. RNAcentral describes it as "tRNA-Pro". It matches the Rfam family "tRNA". From Rfam's summary of the family: Transfer RNA (tRNA) molecules are approximately 80 nucleotides in length. Their secondary structure includes four short double-helical elements and three loops (D, anti-codon, and T loops). Lineage: Duplodnaviria; Heunggongvirae; Uroviricota; Caudoviricetes; Herelleviridae. The record is from RNAcentral. RNAcentral also lists the same sequence under 49 other names.